GGGAUUGCCAGGCAGCUCCUUCCAGUGCCGUCGGGCCAGGGGAGACCUACGGCCUCUGCUGCAGAUGUCUGCACAUCUGCUGUACCAGAGCAGUAGAAAAAGGGCUGGGUGAAUCAGCCAUAAGUGCUUUGUUUGGUAUUGGGCUUUCCUUCUCCUCUCUGAGCACCGUUUCUAGGAAAGAAGUAAUCAUCUCCGGAUGAUACCCAGAAAAUCUCUCCCGUGGGCCUCUGGGAAAGACCCAAGUGCUAGGACCGGAGCAGCACCACCAGCCCUACUUUCAGCACUUCAUUCAGAACUCCAUCUCAGCAUCAGCCCAUCUCCUCUUCUGCAGUAAUGCCUCCUCCCACCACAGCUCAGCCUGGCUUCACCCUAUCCCGAGGGGCUGAUCUGACAAAGGAGCAGAAGAGCCCAGCAGCUCCAGUGUAUCUAUCUAUUUUCUUUUCUCUUUAUUAGGCGAGCUACUGCCCAUCUCCUCCUUCUCCAUAGGCAUCUGGGCACAAAGCUGCUGAAAGAAACCAGCCUAUUCCUCUCUGUGCACAUGGAGAGCCCUUGGGGGACUGGUGGGUGUCUGUUUGGAGGUAGGGGAUCGGGUGAGCCCAUUCUGCCAGUAGAUGCCCGGUGUGGUCCUUCCCCA
Gallus gallus (chicken) is the source of this 634-nucleotide long non-coding RNA. NCBI's taxonomy places the organism in Eukaryota, Metazoa, Chordata, Aves, Galliformes, Phasianidae. The record is from Ensembl.